CCUACGGGUGGCUGCAGUGAGGAAUAUUGGUCAAUGGGCGAGAGCCUGAACCAGCCAUGCCGCGUGCAGGAAGACGGCCCUACGGGUUGUAAACUGCUUUUGUGUGGGAAGAAAACGUUCUACGAGUAGGACACUGACGGUACCAUAUGAAUAAGCAUCGGCUAACUCCGUGCCAGCAGCCGCGGUAAUACGGAGGAUGCGAGCGUUAUCCGGAUUUAUUAGGUUUAAAGGGUGUGAUUACGGACGAGGAGAAAUCUCAGAGCUUAACUCUGAAACUGCCAUAGAUACUGGUCGUCUUGAGUACAGUUGAAGUAGGCGGAAUGUGUAAUGUAGCGGUGAAAUGCUUAGAUAUUACACAGAACACCGAUUGCGAAGGCAGCUUGCUAAGCUGUUACUGACGCUGAUGCACGAAAGCGUGGGGAGCGAACAGGAUUAGAUACCCCUGUAGUC
Molecule: ribosomal RNA, 450 nt
Filed under: uncultured bacterium
Lineage: Bacteria
Description: partial 16S ribosomal RNA
Rfam family: Bacterial small subunit ribosomal RNA
Source: RNAcentral